Molecule: ribosomal RNA, 520 nt
Filed under: uncultured Glomus
Lineage: Eukaryota; Fungi; Glomeromycota; Glomeromycetes; Glomerales; Glomeraceae
Description: SSU rRNA
Rfam family: Eukaryotic small subunit ribosomal RNA
Source: RNAcentral
AGCAGCCGCGGUAAUUCCAGCUCCAAUAGCGUAUAUUAAAGUUGUUGCAGUUAAAAAGCUCGUAGUUGAAUUUCGGGGUUAGUAGGUUGGUCAUGCCUCUGGUAUGUACUGGUCUCACUGAUUCCUCCUUCCUUAUGAACCGUAAUGCCAUUAAUUUGGUGUUGCGGGGAAUUUGGACUGUUACUUUGAAAAAAUUAGAGUGUUUAAAGCAAGCUAACGCUUGAAUACAUUAGCAUGGAAUAAUGAAAUAGGACGUUCGAUCUUAUUUUGUUGGUUUCUAGGAUUGACGUAAUGAUUAAUAGGGAUAGUUGGGGGCAUUAGUAUUCAAUUGUCAGAGGUGAAAUUCUUGGAUUUAUUGAAGACUAACUACUGCGAAAGCAUUUGCCAAGGAUGUUUUCAUUAAUCAAGAACGAAAGUUAGGGGAUCGAAGACGAUCAGAUACCGUCGUAGUCUUAACCAUAAACUAUGCCGACUAGGGAUCGGAUGAUGUUAACUUUUUAAUGACUCAUUCGGCGCCUUA